AUGGCCUGGCUGCUUGGACACGCCUCUGAUGUGUUGGACAUAGCUCUCAAGACCUGGCAUCAUAGCCUCCCCAUGUGCCCAGGGGGUGAUGCCAGUCACACCUGCCAUUCAGAAGAAGAUACUGCCCACAGAUUUACCAGGACCACUGAAGGGAAACAUCAGCAGCUGAGAGAUG
Molecule: long non-coding RNA, 175 nt
Filed under: Cyanistes caeruleus (blue tit)
Lineage: Eukaryota; Metazoa; Chordata; Aves; Passeriformes; Paridae
Description: lncRNA (ENSCCEG00000008370.1)
Source: RNAcentral